RNAcentral lists this ribosomal RNA (469 nucleotides) under uncultured bacterium. RNAcentral describes it as "SSU rRNA". It matches the Rfam family "Bacterial small subunit ribosomal RNA", at positions 26 to 518 of the family's 1533-position model. The record is from RNAcentral.
AGGAUGAACGCUGGCGGCGUACCUAACGCAUGCAAGUCGAACGGGGAUGUAAGGAGCAAUCUGAACAUUCUAGUGGCAAACGGGUGAGUAACACGUAGGGAUCUACCUUGAGGUGGGGAACAACGGACCGAAAGGUUCGCUAAUACCGCAUGUAGUCGCGAGACUAAAGGAUUCGAAAGGAUUCGCCUUGAGAGGAGCCUGCGUUCGAUCAGGUAGUUGGUGAGGUAACGGCUCACCAAGCCGAUGACCGAUAGCUGUUCUGAGAGGAAGAUCAGCCACACUGGGACUGUGACACGGCCCAGACUCCUACGGGAGGCAGCAGCGAGGAAUAUUGCACAAUGGACGCAAGUCUGAUGCAGUAACGCCGCGUGAGGGAAGAAGACCUUCGGGUUGUAAACCUCUUUUAUAGAGGACGAGUGAGGACGGUACUCUAGGAAUAAGUCUCGGCUAACUACGUGCCAGCAGCCGC